RNAcentral lists this unclassified non-coding RNA (299 nucleotides) under plant metagenome. Its description in RNAcentral is "partial contains 5.8S ribosomal RNA, internal transcribed spacer 2, and large subunit ribosomal RNA". The stretch from base 1 to 105 matches the Rfam family "5.8S ribosomal RNA", at positions 50 to 154 of the family's 154-position model. The record is from RNAcentral.
GAAAUGCGAUAAGUAAUGUGAAUUGCAGAAUUCAGUGAAUCAUCGAAUCUUUGAACGCACAUUGCGCCCCCUGGUAUUCCGGGGGGCAUGCCUGUUCGAGCGUCAUUUCACCACUCAAGCCUCGCUUGGUAUUGGGCGACGCGGUCCGCCGCGCGCCUCAAAUCGACCGGCUGGGUCUUCCGUCCCCUCAGCGUUGUGGAAACUAUUCGCUAAGGGGUGCCGCGGGAGGUCACGCCGCAAAACAACCCCAUUUCUAAGGUUGACCUCGGAUCAGGUAGGGAUACCCGCUGAACUUAAGC